Molecule: ribosomal RNA, 448 nt
Filed under: uncultured bacterium
Lineage: Bacteria
Description: partial 16S ribosomal RNA
Rfam family: Bacterial small subunit ribosomal RNA
Source: RNAcentral
GUCCAGACUCCUACGGGAGGCAGCAGCGGGGAAUAUUGCACAAUGGGGGAAACCCUGAUGCAGCGACGCCGCGUGAGCGAAGAAGUCUUUCGGUAUGUAAAGCUCUAUCAGCAGGGAAGAAAUUGACGGUACCUGAGUAAGAAGCUCCGGCUAAAUACGUGCCAGCAGCCGCGGUAAUACGUAUGGAGCAAGCGUUAUCCGGAUUUACUGGGUGUAAAGGGAGCGUAGGCGGCCUGCCAAGUCUGAUGUGAAAUACCGGGGCUCAACCCCGGGGCUGCAUUGGAAACUGGCAGGCUGGAGUGUCGGAGAGGCAGGCGGAAUUCCUAGUGUAGCGGUGAAAUGCGUAGAUAUUAGGAGGAACACCAGUGGCGAAGGCGGCCUGCUGGACGAUGACUGACGCUGAGGCUCGAAAGCGUGGGGAGCAAACAGGAUUAGAUGCCCCAGUAGC